CCUACGGGAGGCUGCAGUGGGGAAUAUUGGACAAUGGGCGAAAGCCUGAUCCAGCCAUGCCGCGUGUGUGAAGAAGGCCUUCGGGUUGUAAAGCACUUUCAGUGGGGAAGAAAGCCUUGGGGCUAAUACCCUCGAGGUAGGACAUCACCCACAGAAGAAGCACCGGCUAACUCCGUGCCAGCAGCCGCGGUAAUACGGAGGGUGCGAGCGUUAAUCGGAAUUACUGGGCGUAAAGCGCGCGUAGGCGGUCUGAUAAGCCGGUUGUGAAAGCCCCGGGCUCAACCUGGGAACGGCAUCCGGAACUGUCAGGCUAGAGUGCAGGAGAGGAAGGUAGAAUUCCCGGUGUAGCAGUGAAAUGCGUAGAGAUCGGGAGGAAUACCAGUGGCGAAGGCGGCCUUCUGGACUGACACUGACGCUGAGGUGCGAAAGCGUGGGUAGCAAACAGGAUUAGAUACCCUUGUAGUC
This 465-nucleotide ribosomal RNA is filed under the name Vreelandella stevensii. RNAcentral's name for it is "partial 16S ribosomal RNA". It matches the Rfam family "Bacterial small subunit ribosomal RNA", at positions 338 to 795 of the family's 1533-position model. Lineage: Bacteria; Pseudomonadati; Pseudomonadota; Gammaproteobacteria; Oceanospirillales; Halomonadaceae. The record is from RNAcentral.